CUGGACCUCAGCUCAGGCGUGACUACCCGCCGAAUUUAAGCAUAUCAAUAAGCGGAGGAAAAGAAACCAACAGGGAUUCCCCCAGUAACGGCGAGCGAAGCGGGAACAGCUCGAGCCUUAAAUCUCCGGCGCACAGCCGGCGAAUUGUAGCCGAGAGAGACAUCCACGGCUGGCGGUCGAUCGGUCGAAGUUG
This 193-nucleotide ribosomal RNA is filed under the name Trochospongilla pennsylvanica. RNAcentral's name for it is "partial 28S ribosomal RNA". It matches the Rfam family "Eukaryotic large subunit ribosomal RNA", at positions 1 to 188 of the family's 3401-position model. The record is from RNAcentral. Lineage: Eukaryota; Metazoa; Porifera; Demospongiae; Spongillida; Spongillidae.